This 553-nucleotide long non-coding RNA is filed under the name Anas platyrhynchos platyrhynchos (common mallard). Its description in RNAcentral is "lncRNA (ENSAPLG00000021140.1)". The record is from RNAcentral. Lineage: Eukaryota; Metazoa; Chordata; Aves; Anseriformes; Anatidae.
AGCAACAUAGACAGGGCCAGGUCCACUCAGUGCAGGCUCUGAUUUUGGUGGUUUUCAGUGGCAUGUCAUCUUUAAUAUAAGUAUUUUUUUUUUCUUUUCUCUUUUUCUAGAACCUUUAUGUUCCAGCUGACUUUCUCUAACAGAGCAACCGAUGUGCUUUUUCACCAGAACUAACUGAAGCACGAACUCAUUGGGACUGAAGGAAAACUGUCUCAGAGACAAAAGGACACAUGGGUGGAAGUGUAGCCACGCUGCAUCCCAUGAGCAGUCACUUCAUUUUGGGGAGGACAAUUAUUGCUGAAUGGUGAGAGACCUCAGCCUAAAUCUGCAGAAAAAUGGAUGUCUUUAUCGCACUGGCAGUUUUCUGCCUCUUUGCCAUAGACCGUGCACUUCUGACAGCGGUACUGUGCACAGGCUCAGGAGCUGUGCUGGAGGACUGAGCCCAGCUGGAGCUGGUUUCCCCAUUCCUUCAGGCAAGCAGGGGUAGUUCUUGGUUUGAGUAAUGCUCAACAUCCUCACUGAAAAAAAUCUGGCUGUGUAGGUGCAGUAUGUG